This 609-nucleotide long non-coding RNA is filed under the name Homo sapiens (human). RNAcentral's name for it is "HSALNT0084072". The record is from RNAcentral. Lineage: Eukaryota; Metazoa; Chordata; Mammalia; Primates; Hominidae.
CUCAGGUGUUGUGAUACUGUUUUUUCAACUACCCAGCUCUUGAACAUACCUAUAAAGUCUACUGGUGUACUGUUUUAAAUUUUACCAUUUUUUUUCAGAAACAAGAGUUUAUCAAAAACUCCUGUGGAAGAAAGGAUCAUCCUGCAUUUAGCUGGAAGUCAAGAAGUCCAAUAUUUCAAAGGAGCACACGAAGCGGGAUGGCUGAGUUACAGUUAUUUUUUACAACAGAGCUGCUCCGAUGUCAUGGGAAGUCUCCUCAAAGCCCCAGCUCUGGUAAUUAAAUGAAACACAACCAUCCUACACCACAAUGGCUGGGCACUCUCCCACGGAAUAUCCAAAGAAGACAGGAAUGAGAAGAAUCAGCCAUCAAUUGCGUUUUAAAAUUUAAAAUUAAAAGAAGUAUUUAUAUUUCAUAUUUCCCUUAAUGCAAAUUUUUGACAUUUUCUAAAUUUCUACUUAUUUUGUAUAAAAAUGAGCUUAUGAUAUAAUAAAUGAUGACUCCCAUAUGUUACAAAAACUUGGGUUUUUAUUUCAAAAAUGAGCACAGACCCAUGCUAUAACUUUCUAAGGGCUUUAAUUGUUUCCCCAAACCAAUAAAAUUAAAAUGAC